RNAcentral lists this ribosomal RNA (253 nucleotides) under uncultured prokaryote. Its description in RNAcentral is "partial 16S ribosomal RNA". It matches the Rfam family "Bacterial small subunit ribosomal RNA", at positions 524 to 776 of the family's 1533-position model. The record is from RNAcentral.
UACAGAGGGCGCGAGCGUUGUUCGGAAUUAUUGGGCGUAAAGGGCGCGUAGGCGGCGCCACAAGUCACUUGUGAAAACUCUGGGCUCAACUCAGAGCCUGCAAGCGAAACUGUGGUGCUGGAGUAUGGGAGAGGUGCGUGGAAUUCCCGGUGUAGCGGUGAAAUGCGUAGAGAUCGGGAGGAAGGCCGGUGGCGAAGGCGGCGCUCUGGAACAUUCCUGACGCUGAGGCGCGAAAGCUAGGGGAGCAAACGGG